ACACAUGCAAGUCGAGCGGGCAUAGCAAUAUGUCAGCGGCAGACGGGUGAGUAACGCGUGGGAACGUACCUUUUGGUUCGGAACAACACAGGGAAACUUGUGCUAAUACCGGAUAAGCCCUUACGGGGAAAGAUUUAUCGCCGAAAGAUCGGCCCGCGUCUGAUUAGCUAGUUGGUGAGGUAAUGGCUCACCAAGGCGACGAUCAGUAGCUGGUCUGAGAGGAUGAUCAGCCACAUUGGGACUGAGACACGGCCCAAACUCCUACGGGAGGCAGCAGUGGGGAAUAUUGGACAAUGGGCGCAAGCCUGAUCCAGCCAUGCCGCGUGAGUGAUGAAGGCCCUAGGGUUGUAAAGCUCUUUUGUGCGGGAAGAUAAUGACGGUACCGCAAGAAUAAGCCCCGGCUAACUUCGUGCCAGCAGCCGCGGUAAUACGAAGGGGGCUAGCGUUGCUCGGAAUCACUGGGCGUAAAGGGUGCGUAGGCGGGUCUUUAAGUCAGGGGUGAAAUCCUGGAGCUCAACUCCAGAACUGCCUUUGAUACUGAAGAUCUUGAGUUCGGGAGAGGUGAGUGGAACUGCGAGUGUAGAGGUGAAAUUCGUAGAUAUUCGCAAGACACCAGUGGCGAAGGCGGCUCACUGGCCCGAU
Molecule: ribosomal RNA, 642 nt
Filed under: uncultured Alphaproteobacteria bacterium
Lineage: Bacteria; Pseudomonadati; Pseudomonadota; Alphaproteobacteria
Description: bacterial SSU rRNA
Rfam family: Bacterial small subunit ribosomal RNA
Source: RNAcentral